Molecule: ribosomal RNA, 653 nt
Filed under: uncultured bacterium
Lineage: Bacteria
Description: bacterial SSU rRNA
Rfam family: Bacterial small subunit ribosomal RNA (bases 1-541)
Source: RNAcentral
CCUACGGGAGGCAGCAGUAGGGAAUAUUGGUCAAUGGACGAAAGUCUGAACCAGCCAUGCCGCGUGAAGGAUGAAGGCCCUAUGGGUCGUAAACUUCUUUUAUUAGGGAAGAAACCUUAGGAUGCGUCCUAAGCUGACGGUACCUAAUGAAUAAGGAUCGGCUAACUUCGUGCCAGCAGCCGCGGUAAGACGAAGGAUCCAAGCGUUGUCCGGAUUUACUGGGUUUAAAGGGUGCGUAGGCGGAAAAUUAAGUCAGUGGUGAAAGCCCGCAGCUCAACUGUGGAACUGCCAUUGAAACUGAUUUUCUUGAAUAUAGUUGAGGCAGAUGGAAUAUAACAUGUAGCGGUGAAAUGCUUAGAUAUGUUAUAGAACACCGAUUGCGAAGGCAGUCUGCUAAGCUAUUAUUGACGCUGAGGCACGAAAGCGUGGGGAGCGAACAGGAUUAGAUACCCUGGUAGUCCACGCCCUAAACGUUGAUUACUCNCUGUGUGAUAUACUGUCAGUGGCGUAAGACGAAAGACGUUAAAGUUAAAGUACCACCGUACGGAAGGUAACGGUAACCGGACCGAACGGUUAGGUUAAACGUAACUUAAAUUAAGUAAGUUAGUUACGGCGUGAGACGAGCCGACGGACGACGACGAGGGGAGGAGGAG